RNAcentral lists this unclassified non-coding RNA (343 nucleotides) under soil metagenome. Its description in RNAcentral is "partial contains 5.8S ribosomal RNA, internal transcribed spacer 2, and large subunit ribosomal RNA". The stretch from base 1 to 120 matches the Rfam family "5.8S ribosomal RNA", at positions 35 to 154 of the family's 154-position model. The record is from RNAcentral.
GAUGAAGAACUCAGCGAAAUGCGAUAAGUAAUGUGAAUUGCAGAAUUCAGUGAAUCAUCGAAUCUUUGAACGCACAUUGCGCCCGCCAGCAUUCUGGCGGGCAUGCCUGUUCGAGCGUCAUUUCAACCCUCGAGCCCCCCCGGGGGCCUCGGUGUUGGGGGACGGCACACCAGCCGCCCCCGAAAUGCAGUGGCGACCCCGCCGCAGCCUCCCCUGCGUAGUAGCACACACCUCGCACCGGAGCGCGGAGGCGGUCACGCCGUAAAACGCCCAACUUUCUUAGAGUUGACCUCGGAUCAGGUAGGAAUACCCGCUGAACUUAAGCAUAUCAAUAAGCGGAGGA